Long non-coding RNA from Daktulosphaira vitifoliae (grape phylloxera), 404 nucleotides. RefSeq lists it as uncharacterized. The transcript is spliced from 4 exons. Lineage: Eukaryota; Metazoa; Arthropoda; Insecta; Hemiptera; Phylloxeridae. The record is from RefSeq and is a predicted model, not a curated record.
AUUGUCGAUAUUGUGUGACUUGAUUUGAUUUUGUAAUUUUUAGAUGGCGUUUGUCGUGUGCCCGGAGCACUGCUUCGAUAAUGAGAGUGCUGCUGGCUCUAACCAUCUCACAAACGGAGGAUUUAUUAACACGGUUUUUAGACGGCGUUUGUUGUUGUAUCCCGAGGAAUGUUUCCAUAACGGAUCGGCCUAUCGGUUCUAACGGACAACUGGAUUUAUUGCGCGGACGGUAUCCGUGGUGCCGCGAUAACGAGUAAGCUAGAGAUUGAUGACGGCAGUCAUCGCUAUUGAAUUUAUUACAAAGACUGUGCUACCAUUGUGGUUCCAGGAUAAUGACUGAGCUAGAGAUUCAUGGCAGUCAUCGUUAUUGGAUUUAUUGCACCGGUAAUUCAUUUUCAUUUGUU